RNAcentral lists this ribosomal RNA (490 nucleotides) under uncultured bacterium. RNAcentral describes it as "partial 16S ribosomal RNA". It matches the Rfam family "Bacterial small subunit ribosomal RNA", at positions 30 to 507 of the family's 1533-position model. The record is from RNAcentral.
AUUGAACGCUGGCGGCAGGCCUAACACAUGCAAGUCGAACGGUAACAGGAAACAGCUUGCUGUUUCGCUGACGAGUGGCGGACGGGUGAGUAAUGUCUGGGAAACUGCCUGAUGGAGGGGGAUAACUACUGGAAACGGUAGCUAAUACCGCAUAACGUCGCAAGACCAAAGAGGGGGACCUUCGGGCCUCUUGCCAUCGGAUGUGCCCAGAUGGGAUUAGCUAGUAGGUGGGGUAACGGCUCACCUAGGCGACGAUCCCUAGCUGGUCUGAGAGGAUGGCCAGCCACACUGGAACUGAGACACGGUCCAGACUCCUACGGGAGGCAGCAGUGGGGAAUAUUGCACAAUGGGCGCAAGCCUGAUGCAGCCAUGCCGCGUGUAUGAAGGAGGCCUUCGGGUUGUAAAGUACUUUCAGCGGGGAGGAAGGGAGUAAAGUUAAUACCUUUGCUCAUUGACGUUACCCGCAGAAGAAGCACCGGCUAACUCCGUG